GAAGGGUGCAAGCGUUUAUUCGGGAAUAACUGGGGCGUAAAGAGCGUGUAGGUGGUUUUGUAAGUCAGUUGGUUAAAUGCCACAGCUUAACUGUGGGACCUGCGAUUGAAACUAUGAGACUAGAGGAUAAGAGAGAGAAGUGGAAUUCUCGGAGUAGCGGUAAAAUGCGUAGAUCUCGAGAGGAACACCGAUUGCGAAGGCAGCUUCUUGGCUUAUUCCUGACACUCAAACGCGAAAGCGUGGGGAGCAAACAGGAUUAGAUACCCUGGUAGUCCACGCCGUAAACGAUGAUCACUAGAUGUGGGACGAGCUUGCUUGUUCCGUGUCGAAGCUAACGCGUUAAGUGAUCCGCCUGGGGAGUACGGUCGCAAGAUUA
RNAcentral lists this ribosomal RNA (376 nucleotides) under uncultured organism. RNAcentral describes it as "partial 16S ribosomal RNA". It matches the Rfam family "Bacterial small subunit ribosomal RNA", at positions 527 to 896 of the family's 1533-position model. The record is from RNAcentral.